This 251-nucleotide ribosomal RNA is filed under the name uncultured bacterium. RNAcentral's name for it is "partial 16S ribosomal RNA". It matches the Rfam family "Bacterial small subunit ribosomal RNA", at positions 524 to 776 of the family's 1533-position model. The record is from RNAcentral.
GACGGGGGGGGCAAGUGUUCUUCGGAAUGACUGGGCGUAAAGGGCACGUAGGCGGUGAAUCGGGUUGAAAGUGAAAGUCGCCAAAAAGUGGCGGAAUGCUCUCGAAACCAAUUCACUUGAGUGAGACAGAGGAGAGUGGAAUUUCGUGUGUAGGGGUGAAAUCCGUAAAUAUACGAAGGAACGCCAAAAGCGAAGGCAGCUCUCUGGGUCCCUACCGACGCUGGGGUACGAAAGCAUGGGGAGCGAACAGG